Molecule: ribosomal RNA, 497 nt
Filed under: uncultured bacterium
Lineage: Bacteria
Description: partial 16S ribosomal RNA
Rfam family: Bacterial small subunit ribosomal RNA
Source: RNAcentral
GAUGAACGCUGGCGGCGUGCCUAAUACAUGCAAGUCGAGCGAACAGACGAGGAGCUUGCUCCUCUGACGUUAGCGGCGGACGGGUGAGUAACACGUGGAUAACCUACCUAUAAGACUGGGAUAACUUCGGGAAACCGGAGCUAAUACCGGAUAAUAUAUUGAACCGCAUGGUUCAAUAGUGAAAGACGGUUUUGCUGUCACUUAUAGAUGGAUCCGCGCCGCAUUAGCUAGUUGGGAAGGUAACGGCUUACCAAGGCAACGAUGCGUAGCCGACCUGAGAGGGUGAUCGGCCACACUGGAACUGAGACAGGGUCCAGACUCCUACGGGAGGCAGCAGUAGGGAAUCUUCCGCAAAGGGCGAAAGCCUGACGGAGCAACGCCGCGUGAGAGAUGAAGGUCUUCGGAUCGUAAAACUCUGUUAUUAGGGAAAAACAAAUGUGUAAGUAACUAUGCACGUCUUGACGGUACCUAAUCAGAAAGCCACGGCUAACUACGUG